UACGGGGGGGGCAAGCGUUGUUCGGAAUUACUGGGCGUAAAGGGCUCGUAGGUGGCCUGCUAAGUCAGACGUGAAAUCCCUCGGCUUAACCGAGGAACUGCGUCUGAUACUGGGAGGCUUGAAUCCGGGAGAGGGACGUGGAAUUCCAGGUGUAGCGGUGAAAUGCGUAGAUAUCUGGAGGAACACCGGUGGCGAAGGCGGCGUCCUGGACCGGUAUUGACACUGAGGAGCGAAAGCCAGGGGAGCAAACGGGAUUAGAUACCCCGGUAGUCCUGGCCCUAAACGAUGAGUGCUUGGUGUGGCGGGUAUCGAUCCCUGCCGUGCCGAAGCUAACGCGUUAAGCACUCCGCCUGGGGAGUACGGUCGCAAGGCUG
RNAcentral lists this ribosomal RNA (374 nucleotides) under uncultured prokaryote. Its description in RNAcentral is "bacterial SSU rRNA". It matches the Rfam family "Bacterial small subunit ribosomal RNA", at positions 524 to 896 of the family's 1533-position model. The record is from RNAcentral.